CUGGACUUAUGUUCAACGUGACCGUUGAGCCUUCACAAUGAAUUUGUCCUGUGAAAAGAUCAGUUGAUACGGAGCCUGGAUCCCAGAUUCUCACCACAGAGUGGGCGCUCGUUAUUUGCACAUCAGCAUCUAUGUCAUCAAUCUCUAGCAGCCACACUCACCCAGAUGAAGCUCCAAACCCAGGGCAUGAAUCUGAAUGCAUAUUGAGCUGAAACAGCUACAGUCAUUUUUUAACUGUGAGGGGAGAAUCUGAGAAUCUGAGAAGAUGAGAAUGGAGCCAAGAUAGCAUAAAGUGGAUCCAAGAAAUGGAGAGAAAGAAAGUGGCAAAGCUCAUGAUUUCUCUUCUUUACUGAGUACGUAGAAACUGCUAUACACACUUUGUCAGGAAUAUUGAGUGACAUAGAUGAGCACAUUAAUGGAGAGGGUGAG
Gorilla gorilla gorilla (western lowland gorilla) is the source of this 429-nucleotide long non-coding RNA. RefSeq lists it as uncharacterized. Lineage: Eukaryota; Metazoa; Chordata; Mammalia; Primates; Hominidae. The transcript has 4 exons. The record is from RefSeq and is a predicted model, not a curated record.